RNAcentral lists this ribosomal RNA (450 nucleotides) under uncultured bacterium. RNAcentral describes it as "partial 16S ribosomal RNA". It matches the Rfam family "Bacterial small subunit ribosomal RNA", at positions 354 to 796 of the family's 1533-position model. The record is from RNAcentral.
GUGGGGAAUUUUGGACAAUGGGCGCAAGCCUGAUCCAGCAAUGCCGCGUGCAGGAAGAAGGCCUUCGGGUUGUAAACUGCUUUUGUACGGAACGAAAAGGCUCUGGUUAAUACCUGGGGCUCAUGACGGUACCGUAAGAAUAAGCACCGGCUAACUACGUGCCAGCAGCCGCGGUAAUACGUAGGGUGCAAGCGUUAAUCGGAAUUACUGGGCGCAAAGCGUGCGCAGGCGGUUUUGUAAGACAGACGUGAAAUCCCCGGGCUCAACCUGGGAAUGGCGUUUGUGACUGCAAAGCUGGAGUGCGGCAGAGGGGGAUGGAAUUCCGCGUGUAGCAGUGAAAUGCGUAGAUAUGCGGAGGAACACCGAUGGCGAAGGCAAUCCCCUGGGCCUGCACUGACGCUCAUGCACGAAAGCGUGGGGAGCAAACAGGAUUAGAUACCCCAGUAGUCC